CCCCCCCCGCUCAGGUACAGCCUGUUGCAGCUAGUUGUGAUACCUCUGGCCUGCUCUUCCCUCUGAUGUUAUAACCCCCCCCCGCUCAGGUACAGCCUGUUGCAGCUAGUUGUGAUACCUCUGGCCUGCUCUCCCCUCUGAUGUUAUAACCCCCUCAGUUCUACACCAUGAGGACCUUACAGGGAGAAAAGCAUUUCAACUGAUCAGUCGUUCAGUAUUGGAGGAAAAUGGUUGAAUUGGCUUUUGGAGGUUUUUGUGUAUAUUUUCUUUAUAUAAGUAAAUCACAUAGAAGAUUUUCCCUGUUUACAAGAGAAGCCUGUUUGAAGACUUGUUUCCCCAGAGGCCAAAUACUAUGUGUUGUUUCACAAGAUGGAGAUUGUAGGUGUUGGUUUGGCCGGCAGUGCCACAUAUCAUAUUUGAAAGGCAUGAAUUGUUUUUUUACAUGUGAUAAAAUGUAUGUACAAGCAUGUUUUUAGUUCACAUUCUAACUUCAGUUUUGUAAUUAUUUUCCAAUACUUAGAAUCAUGUUUUUUUAAAUCUUUUAUCAGACAAAAAAAAAACAUGACCAGACGAAGUGAGAUUCAACUUCACUGUUAUUGCACAGUACAUGUACUAGGAAAUAUAGUUCAGCAUCACCCAAAUAGUACAAAUAGAAGUGCAGCAGCCCUCAAAUAAAAAACAUUUAACUUGAGAAAAGAAUUUGUUCCAGUGUUGGUUGUGGACUUUUUGUCAAACAGGAGCAAAUGGAGAGGAACAUACCAGAUGUUUUUCUAAUAUAAAUCCUGUUUGACCAAAUGGACUCCCUCCCUUUUUCCUUCUUUUUGCUUUUUUUGGUGAAAUGUUUUGCAACAUAAUGGUUUGUUCUUCUGAACAAAUACACCACAGGUUUAUAUUUCAGUUCAACCAAACUCAAACUCCUUUGGCUAUGUGCUGUCACCUAACAAAGCCAUAAUGUUGUGCAUCUGAUCUUAUUUCAGGCUGUCAAUUUGAAUAUGAACACAAGUAUUUUAUAAAGGAUAUCUUAUUGUUAUUUACUUUUUAUAAUGCCAAUUGUUUAUGUAUAUUUGAUGUAGGCUGCAAAAAAAAGUAUAUUUUUUAUCAUGUUUGGUAUUUGUACUACACUUUAAAUGUUGCGUGUGUGUGUGUGUGUUUGGUGCAAAUGUGUGCAAGUGUGUGUCUAUUCAAUAUUUGAUUCAUGAUAAUGAAAAGUUUGACUGUAUAACAAUAUAUUUAAAAAUGUGAUAUUUUCUUUACCAAGAUGCAAUGUCAGAUGGUGGAGAGACCCUUCUACAUGACAUUAUUAUUGUAGUUAUAUUGGGAAUGAUGACCAACUGUAUUCUGGAGCAGUAGCCUACCACAUAAUAUAUGACAUUAUUAUUGUAGUUAUAUUGGGAAUGAUGACAACUGUAUUCUGGAGCAGUAGCCUACCACAUAAUAUAUGACAUUAUUAUUGUAGUUAUAUUGGAAAUGAUGACAACUGUGUUCUGGAGCAGUAGCCUACCACACAAUAUAUGACAUUAUUAUUUUAGUUAUGUUGGGAAUGAUGACUAACUGUGUUCUGGAGCAGUAGCCUACCACAUAAUAUAUGACAUUGUCUUCUUUUGCAUAGAAUGAUGUAAUUGCUAGAUAUAAAAUGCAAUAAUCAUUAUAUUUUUUGUAAUUUAUUGAUCUAAAAUAUUUAGGAUUAUACUGGAUAAUACUGGAUUACAUAUAACCUUAUAUUUAUACCCAGCUUAGUUUAUGGAACAGUCAGGUUUGGUUUCCUAAGGGUGGAUAGAAAUAAUGUAUUUUUUUUAAUAACAGUUUAAUUUUAGGGCUAAAUAUUUUAAAUAUUGGGUCUUUUAAAACUGCCUCUUUGUAAACUUUGAAUGAGGUUUCAGUGUUAGGCCAUAUUUCCAUUGUUUUAAAAAUGUGUGUUUUUGUUUUAUUUAUUUUUCUUUCUGUUAGAACAAAUGCUGGUGUUUGUAUUUAAG
Long non-coding RNA from Esox lucius (northern pike), 1973 nucleotides. The record is from Ensembl. NCBI's taxonomy places the organism in Eukaryota, Metazoa, Chordata, Actinopteri, Esociformes, Esocidae.